AUUUUUUACGGCGUUUUUAUUAUUUGCACGAAAACGUAUUAGCUAUUCCAAAUGUUUUGAAAUUUUCUAUUAAUAAAAGAUUGUAUGUUGGACGAUUACAUUGAGCAGCGAGUGAGUCGGUUACAAAUAUGCAAACUUUGCAGUGUUCUCUCCUUUGGAAAAGGCUCAAUAUUAAGGGCUUAAUAUUUCUACAGCGUCCUCGUCUCCUUUAGCUCAGAUCAGCUGUGCCAUCGCAUAUAUAUUGCCACCGUACUAUCGAUUAGUGCCCCGGCAGCGCAACUGGCGGAUGCUACAAAGAAAGCUUGGCUUGUCCUUAUGAUAGCCCAGUUCGGCGUCCUUACUGUAGUAAAUUAUAACGUUCACGAAAAAAUCGAAAUCGUUGUUACAUUUGUGUGCCGUUCAAUAAUAAAGUAAAAUAAUAAUCCGUUUGUUGUUUGCUCUGUUUUUUAUUUUAUUGUAAAUCGCUCGGCUUAGCUAUGGAGGAUGAGACUGCAGAAAGUUAUGUUCUUGACAGAUUUGAUCCUAUAAUGAACGAAAUGCGCAAGAAAAAGGUAUUAUUGGAUUUCGCAUUGGUUAACGUUAACGGUGACGAAGUAUGGGGUCAUUUGCCACUGAUGGCUUUAAUGAGCGAUGUAAUUUUAGAGACUGCUAUGUUCAAGCGUGAAGAAAGAUUGCUGUUGAAAAAUAUAAAUGCUGAAUCACUGGAACAUGUAGUCAACUACAUGUAUACUGCUGAAGUAGACUUAACUCGUGAUAAUGUUCUUAUGAUUUUAGGUGCAGCUACUCAUUUGGAAUUGGAACAUUUACAAUCACUGUGUUGGGAUUUUUUGGCUAAUAAUUCGAAUCGCAACGAAGAGGAUAUCAUUCGAUGCGAUAUCAUUCUCACGGCUUGGUCGAUAGUAGAAGUAUGAUGAAAAAAGGAACUAUUGGAUUUCGUAUUGGUCAACGACAACGGUGACCAAGUAUGGGGUCAUAUGCUCGUGAUGGCUUCAAUGAGCCGUUUGGUUAAGAAAGCAGCUCUGAAGGGUGAAAGAAGAUUGUUUUUAAAAUAUAUAAGUGCUGAGUCGAUGGCACAUAUAGUCAAUUACAUGUAUACUAUUGAAGUAGACUUAACUCGUGGAAAUGUUGAUAAUAUUUUAGCCGGAGCUUCUCAACUGAGGAUGAUAUACUUACAAGAAGCGUGUGUGAAUUUUUUGGAUAAUAAUGCGAAUGGCAACGAAGAGGAUUACUUUUGGUGAUGUCUUGGUUGAAAUAGUAUGAUGGUUAAUAAGUAUUAAUUCAUCAUUUUUUGAACUUCGAACUAUGACUUAUAGUAUUUAACUAAUAGCUUGAUUAGUAUUUUUUUUUAUAUUAUAUUAUAAGCAAUAUUUGCUGCCCUUUGCUGCCAAAACCAAUUUCUUCCACUCUUCUCUAUUGAAAUAUAUUUAGUCUAUUCUCAUCUCAUGCUGGUGUACCCAAUGUCUUUUCCUGGUAUCAUCCACAUUUAUUAAACUUACUUACCUACUUGAAUUUUUACUUUAUUAUAAACUUAGUUUUGUUAUGAGUUAGAUAUUAUAGGUAGCUUAUUGCAUACCUAUAUGAUAGGUGUUAGUAUAUUAUAAAUGUAAUUAAACUGUGUGAUUAUUAACUUGCAUUUAAGUACAAAUUUUUCAUGUAAUUGCCAAUUGGUAUUUAGUGUUUACAUAAGAGUCAUUAUACUUCUACUACUAGUAUAAGGUGUAGAUUUAAACACAUUUGUUAGCUUCACUGCAGAGCUGAGAAGUUUUUAUUUUUUUUGUAUCCGAUUUUUUUCUUAAAUUACUGUUGCAAAAUCCCUGUUUUCUUAAAUGAUUAAAUAAUAACAUUGAAAAAUUUAAUUUUAAUUCUUUGAUCUAGCACUAUAAUAUAAUAUAAAAUAGUACAAUAAUAAUUAUACUCUUAAGUCACGUUUACAC
Adelges cooleyi (spruce gall adelgid) is the source of this 1934-nucleotide RNA transcript. It is a transcript of the gene named kelch-like protein 3, with no coding region annotated. The transcript has 5 exons. Lineage: Eukaryota; Metazoa; Arthropoda; Insecta; Hemiptera; Adelgidae. The record is from RefSeq and is a predicted model, not a curated record.